This 560-nucleotide small RNA is filed under the name Pongo abelii (Sumatran orangutan). RNAcentral's name for it is "processed transcript". The record is from RNAcentral. Lineage: Eukaryota; Metazoa; Chordata; Mammalia; Primates; Hominidae.
GGCGGCGGCGGCCGAGGCUGAAGGAAGAUGGCGGACGGCGUGGACCACAUAGACAUUUACGCGGAUGUCGGCGAAGAAUUCAACCAGGAAGCUGAAUAUGGUGGGCAUGAUCAGAUAGAUUUGUAUGACGAUGUCAUAUCUCCAUCUGCAAAUAAUGGAGAUGCCCCAGAAGACCGGGAUUACAUGGAUACUCUCCCACCAACUGUUGGUGAUGAUGUGGGUAAAGGAGCAGCACCAAAUGUUGUCUAUACGUAUACUGGAAAGAGAAUUGCAUUAUAUAUUGGAAAUCUAACAUGGUGGACAACAGAUGAAGACUUAACUGAAGCAGUUCAUUCUUUGGGAGUAAAUGAUAUUUUGGAGAUAAAAUUUUUUGAAAAUCGGGCAAAUGGCCAGUCAAAGGGAACGUUUCAUCACUCCAAGGAGAAAUCUUGUACCCGGUUAGCAGUCACUCCCAUUUCCUCUCUUCCUAUCUGCUGGCAACCGCUAACGUGCUCUGAAUAUGCCUGUUCUGGACAUUUCAUCUAAAUGGAAUCAUAAAAUACGUAGUCCUAUGUGACUGG